Molecule: long non-coding RNA, 580 nt
Organism: Xenia sp. Carnegie-2017
Lineage: Eukaryota; Metazoa; Cnidaria; Anthozoa; Malacalcyonacea; Xeniidae
Exons: 2
Source: RefSeq, a predicted model, not a curated record
UCAUCACUUUUAAAUCAUUAUUAAUUUGCGUACAAUUACGUAUACGUUGAAUAAGCCACCUGUAACGUUGUGGGAGAUUGGAAUAACAAUAUUGCGCAGUUUCAUUUUCCAAAAGAGGUUUGUCAAAAGAAAGUACUAAACUGGAGUCCUCAUGUUCUGCGGCCUAUAAGAAAAUAUAUAAAAGAAGAAAGUCAAAUUGCUAAGAAUGUUAAGAGGAAGUUGAGAGAGCAGAGUCAAUGGAAGUUCUUAAGCAAAAAGCACAAGACAUCAUUCAACAAUGUACCAAUCUUGGAGUACAAGUCGCCAAAAUCGAGGGGCGUUGCAGCGAAUUGCCACCGGAAAUGACGGAAAUUAAAUCGAGUGUAGCAAUACAAAUUGAAAUGGCAAUAGACUUACGGAGUAAAAUUGAUGGGGUAGAAGCAAUUGGUUUCUCUGAAUUUAAGUCUAUGCAAGAUCACAUUUCGUCAUUACAAGCUAAGAUUACUGAGCUGCACGAUCACAUUUCGUCAUUAGAAGCUGAGAUUACUGAGCUUAAAUCAUCAAAGGAAUUAUUGGAAGAAAAAGUAAAUUCGUUGGAAAA